AUACGUAGGGAGCGAGCGUUGUCCGGAAUUACUGGGUGUAAAGGGAGCGUAGGCGGGAGUGCAAGUCAGAUGUGAAAUACAUGGGCUCAACCCAUGGGCUGCAUUUGAAACUGCAUUUCUUGAGUGAAGUAGAGGUAAGCGGAAUUCCUGGAGUAGCGGUGAAAUGCGUAGAUAUCAGGAGGAACACCGGUGGCGAAGGCGGCUUACUGGGCCUUUACUGACGCUGAGGCUCGAGAGCGCGGGGAGCAAACAGGAUUAGAUACCCUGGUAGUCCACGCUGUAAACGAUGAUUACUAGGUGUGGGGGGACUGACCCCUUCCGUGCCGCAGUUAACACAAUAAGUAAUCCACCUGGGGAGUACGGCCGCAAGGUUGAAACUCAAAUGAAUUGACGGGG
RNAcentral lists this ribosomal RNA (396 nucleotides) under uncultured bacterium. Its description in RNAcentral is "partial 16S ribosomal RNA". It matches the Rfam family "Bacterial small subunit ribosomal RNA", at positions 523 to 918 of the family's 1533-position model. The record is from RNAcentral.